RNAcentral lists this signal recognition particle RNA (379 nucleotides) under Candidatus Aenigmatarchaeota archaeon. RNAcentral describes it as "signal recognition particle sRNA". It matches the Rfam family "Archaeal signal recognition particle RNA". Lineage: Archaea; Nanobdellati; Candidatus Aenigmatarchaeota. The record is from RNAcentral.
CAGGGGGCCUCUGGUCGCGGGGCUAGGCCUCCCGUACCUCGAAAGAGGUGGCAAAUGGUCUACAUGGCCGACCAUAGCCGAGGGGCGGCAUAGCAACUCAAGCUAGCCUGCAUGUUCAACUAGGAAGCCCUGUCCCUAUGGGUCUUGCUAUCUGGAAACCCCCCAGGUCCGGAAGAAGAGGCGAGAGCAUGAGAAGAAAAUGGAAAAAACAUUGAGCUUGAAAAUAGGAGAUUUAUUCCCUACAAUCUAGCCAAGCUCUCGCCUUUUUCGAAGAAGCAAGGGUAACCAGGUAGCAAGGCGCUAUAGGGGUUGCAGGGUGGAGAAGGGCAUGCAGAUUAACUAGCUUGGGGAGCUAUGUCCACCCGAGGCGUGCCCCCUG